This 481-nucleotide ribosomal RNA is filed under the name uncultured bacterium. Its description in RNAcentral is "SSU rRNA". It matches the Rfam family "Bacterial small subunit ribosomal RNA", at positions 26 to 523 of the family's 1533-position model. The record is from RNAcentral.
AGGACGAACGCUGGCGGCGUGCUUAACACAUGCAAGUCGAGCGGUGAUCCUCCUUCGGGAGGUGAGCAGCGGCGAACGGGUGAGUAACACGUGGGCAACCUGCCCCUCACACUGGGAUAACCUCGGGAAACCGGGGCUAAUACCGGAUAUGACCUCGAGCGGCAUCUCUUGAGGUGGAAAGCUCCGACGGUGAGGGAUGGGCCCGCGGCCUAUCAGCUUGUUGGUGGGUAAUGGCCUACCAAGGCGACGACGGGUAGCCGGCCUGAGAGGGCGACCGGCCACACUGGGACUGAGACACGGCCCAGACUCCUACGGGAGGCAGCAGUGGGGAAUAUUGCGCAAUGGGCGAAAGCCUGACGCAGCGACGCCGCGUGAGGGAUGAAGGCCUUCGGGUUGUAAACCUCUUUCAGCAGGGACGAAGCGAAAGUGACGGUACCUGCAGAAGAAGCACCGGCUAACUACGUGCCAGCAGCCGCGGUAA